GAUGAACGCUGGCGGCGUGCUUAACACAUGCAAGUCGAACGAUGAAGCCCAGCUUGCUGGGUGGAUUAGUGGCGAACGGGUGAGUAACACGUGAGUAACCUGCCCUUAACUCUGGGAUAAGCCUGGGAAACUGGGUCUAAUACCGGAUAGGAGCGUCCACCGCAUGGUGGGUGUUGGAAAGAUUUAUCGGUUUUGGAUGGACUCGCGGCCUAUCAGCUUGUUGGUGAGGUAAUGGCUCACCAAGGCGACGACGGGUAGCCGGCCUGAGAGGGUGACCGGCCACACUGGGAAUGAGACAAGGCCCAGACUCCCACGGGAGGGAGGAGGGGGGAAUAAUGCACAAUGGGCGCAAGCCUGAUGCAGCGACGCCGCGUGAGGGAUGACGGCCUUCGGGUUGUAAACCUCUUUCAGUAGGGAAGAAGCGAAAGUGACGGUACCUGCAGAAGAAGCACCGGCUAACUACGU
RNAcentral lists this ribosomal RNA (465 nucleotides) under uncultured bacterium. RNAcentral's name for it is "partial 16S ribosomal RNA". It matches the Rfam family "Bacterial small subunit ribosomal RNA", at positions 28 to 506 of the family's 1533-position model. The record is from RNAcentral.